UCGAUUGGUUAUGGUAGCUUAUGAAUGAGUGUUUUUUUUACGUGCGAGUUCAUUUAUCUUUUUAAGGUAUGAGUUCAUUUUUAAGGAAUGAGUUCCUUUCUAAGGUAUGAGUUCAAAUAGGUCUAUUGUAGGAAGGAGGGAGUAAUAAUUAAAAUAACUAAAUAAUUUAAACUUAAAUUUUUUUUAGAUGAAUUAAAAGUCAGAAAGACAUCAAGGAGAAUUUUAGACAUUCCGACUAAGUCGACACCUUUAAAAAACCUUCAUCCUCUGUCACUCACUCAUAUAAAUAUUAAGAAUAAAAAUUAUAAUUAAU
Molecule: long non-coding RNA, 313 nt
Filed under: Medicago truncatula (barrel medic)
Lineage: Eukaryota; Viridiplantae; Streptophyta; Magnoliopsida; Fabales; Fabaceae
Description: long non-coding RNA (MTRU_LNC003356)
Source: RNAcentral